RNAcentral lists this ribosomal RNA (253 nucleotides) under uncultured bacterium. RNAcentral's name for it is "partial 16S ribosomal RNA". It matches the Rfam family "Bacterial small subunit ribosomal RNA", at positions 524 to 776 of the family's 1533-position model. The record is from RNAcentral.
UACGAAGGGGGCUAGCGUUGUUCGGAAUUACUGGGCGUAAAGCGCACGUAGGCGGACUAUUAAGUCAGGGGUGAAAUCCCGGGGCUCAACCCCGGAACUGCAUUUGAUACUGGUAGUCUCGAGUCCGGAAGAGGUGAGUGGAAUUCCGAGUGUAGAGGUGAAAUUCGUAGAUAUUCGGAGGAACACCAGUGGCGAAGGCGGCUCACUGGUCCGGUACUGACGCUGAGGUGCGAAAGCGUGGGGAGCAAACAGG